AAGGAAUAUUGGUCAAUGGACGCAAGUCUGAACCAGCCAUGCCGCGUGAAGGAUGAAGGUCCUCUGGAUUGUAAACUUCUUUUAUCUGGGACGAAAACGGGAUUUUUAUCUCAAUUGACGGUACCAGAGGAAUAAGCACCGGCUAACUCCGUGCCAGCAGCCGCGGUAAUACGGAGGGUGCGAGCGUUAUCCGGAUUUACUGGGUUUAAAGGGUGCGUAGGUGGGCUUAUAAGUCAGUGGUGAAAUCUCCGAGCUUAACUUGGAAACUGCCGUUGAUACUAUAGGUCUUGAAUUAUCUGGAGGUAAGCGGAAUAUGUCAUGUAGCGGUGAAGUGCUUAGAUAUGACAUAGAACACCAAUUGCGAAGGCAGCUUACUACAUAUAAAUUGACGCUGAGGCACGAAAGCGUGGGGAUCAAACA
Molecule: ribosomal RNA, 420 nt
Filed under: uncultured bacterium
Lineage: Bacteria
Description: bacterial SSU rRNA
Rfam family: Bacterial small subunit ribosomal RNA
Source: RNAcentral